Molecule: long non-coding RNA, 2821 nt
Organism: Brassica rapa (field mustard)
Lineage: Eukaryota; Viridiplantae; Streptophyta; Magnoliopsida; Brassicales; Brassicaceae
Source: RefSeq, a predicted model, not a curated record
UCAAUUUAUAAUUUUAUUUUUAGUAUAAGAGUUUAUUAAUUAAUAUUAAUAUAAUAUUUUUAUAUAUGUGCUAGUUAUCUGCAAAAGUUUUAUGGAUUUAUAUUAAUUAUGAAAAAUAUAAGGAUCAUAGUGUAAAUUAUAAAUAAUUUUGAAGUUAAAUUUGAAGUUUUGCUUUUGAAGAAGAUCAUUUUGAAACUUCAAAUAUAGAAUUUGCAAAACUCUAUACUAGAGACUCUUUUUGGAGACGCUGUUAUUCCAUAUUACCAGCAAAAAAAAAAACAGUGUUCUUAUUUCUUAGGAUUCUUGAAAUCUUUAAUUCAUGUGCUUCGAUAUUCAUUUGAUUUUUCAUUUCUUUAUGCUCAUUGUCCACACCAAAAAAGCUCGUUGGCUUUUACAUCAUGUUCCUGCUUUUUUUCGCUGUACACUCGCCCCCGCACAGCCACACACACAAGUCAACCCCAGUUUUUUUAAAUCCAAAUUCUUUGUCAACAAAAAGAAAAAUCUAUACUCUACUCUACCUUAGACAUAACUUUAAAUGUACGGAAAAGUUUAAGAUGUCUUAGAUGGAGUGAAAUCGGGAUUUUAAUUUGAACGUUUGUAGUUGUGUAUAAAUGUGAAGGCAUUACUACGUGUUCAAUUUAUUAUGAAUGUAAAAGUAAACUGCAUGAUGAUAAAUGACCUCGCGUUUCUAGACACAACAAAAGUUGUGAAAAAGAAACGAUUUACAAAGUCCGAACAAAAUCAUUAAUAGAUGUUGCAUACGUUUGCUUGCCUUUUAGACAAAGGCGUGAAAGUCCAUUAAGCCACACAUGGGAAACAAACUCACUACACGCCUCGGCUUUCGCAAGCGUCACGCUUUUUACGUCAAAUACUUUAAUUUUUGGCUAAAGCGAGGAGCCAAAGAUGAAGUAAAAACCAAUAAAUGAAAUAAACUUGCCACGUGAUAGCAAAAAAAUCUCCGUUGCCGGGACUCGAACCCGGGUCUCUCAGGUGAGAGCCGAGUAUCCUGACCAGCUAGACUACAACGGAUUCGUGAUUGUUAGCCUGAAUGAAACUUUAAUAGAAACAUCCUAAAGAAGUCACUUGUACAUAUUGAUAGCAAUUCUUGUGGACCUAAUAUUUAUUUGUAAUAUAUAGUCUCUGGUAAGUCACUUAAGGUUUCAGCAUCAGAUAACUCUCCCAACAUUGCCAAAACAAGUGAUGUCUUACCUUCUAUACUACCUACAAUGGCAACCAAGCUUCCACCUGUUAUCUCCAAAUUGAUAUUUGGCUUUAUUUUCUAAGAGAUAUAUAUUAGAGUUUAUAACAUAUAUAGACACUUGUUGAGUUUUUAUUACAAAGAAGAGCAGUUGUUGCUACUAGGACACUUUAUGUUGGUGAAAGUCUUCUUUGUCCUUCAAAAAGGCAAACCAGGUGUGGGCAUAUUUGUAAUAGAUCAUUUGUUUCUGGUUAUUCUGGUUCGUAGAUUUAAAAUUCAAAACCGAUGGAAAUUGAUUGGUGGAACCUUGGAGCAUAUUUUAAUUUAGUUAAUUUUCUGAGAUUGGGCCCGUAAAAAAGUAAAACUAUAAUAUUUUGUUUCAACUUUCCCAAAUCUGUAAACCUAAUUUUACUUUCCGGCGACGAGUGACGGAGCAGAGACGACGGUGUACAUCGACGGAGAACAAAAGGCUAUAACGAUCAAGCAUAAGCGGUGUGGCAAAGACACAGACGACAGGACGAUGAGAAAUAAGCGGACAUAAAUGGGGGGGAGACAAAGGUUAAAUCUUUUUCUCGUUUCGAAGGCGUUCGGGUUUAAGUUUCAGAUUAAGUGAAGAGAUGGAGACGAUGAGUUUCAGUUGUACCGGUGUGGCUUAGGCGUUUAGGGGGGACUUUUGAAGCUAUACCGGUGUGGCUUAGGCGUUUAGGGGGGACGACGAGCUGAAGCAGCUGAGUUAUGUCAAUGAGAAGCUCCCACAACACACAAGGUUGGCGGAGGUGCAAGAGGCUGAGCAUGAUCCUCAGGUAACUAUUUAUACACUUGUACAAACGUUUAAGGUUGUACACGUAACAUGUGAUGUACAUGUGUAUAACAAGAACAUAUGUCUACAUGUGUACUUUGCAUACUAUGCUUAUAUGGUUUGCGGUUGAGUUGUAUAUUGAUUUUACUUUGGUUCGCCGUGUUUUAAUGUUUGCUACUGACUGUGCAACCUAUGGUUGGUUUUGGCGGAGGUGUAAGAGGCUGAGCGUGAUCCACAGGUAACUAUUUGUACACAUGCAUGAACAUUUAAAGUGGUACACCUUACAUGCGAUGUACAUGUGUACAACAAGAAUAUAUGUGUACAUGUGUACUUUGCAUAAUGCUUAUAUGGUUUGCGGUUAAAGUGUGUAUUGAUUUUGCUUUGGUUUACCGUGUUUCUAUGUUUGCUGCUGACUGUGUAACCUAUGGUAGAGUGUAGGGAGGACAAGGAGGAUGGCUGGGGGGAAUUUGACAGUGAAUAUUUUGAUCAUAAAGUUGCCAACAUGGUUGAGCUUCUGAAGGAUGAGCACAAAUUCAGAAACACAUAAGUGAAGAGGCGGUGAUGCAUGUGUGUCUAUAUAGAUGUGUACAAGCAAGUGUGUGCAUGUGUACAAGCAAAUGUGUACAUGUGUACAAGUGUACAACACCGAGUGCUUACACGUGUACAAGCGAGUACAUGUACAAUUUAUGGCAUGUACAUAAGUAGUUUAUUUUUGACAUGUUUGUUGGUGUUUAAGGAUGAAUAUUUUUAGAUGCUUUGGGCAUAUAAUGUAAAGUAUCAAGAUGAUUGUUGAUUCUAAGUAAAACUUUUCGCAUUGAUAUGUA